GAGGAAGGCCAGAAGCAGUAAGCACUGCUAAUACUUACACCCACGGUUAAACUCCGUGGCUUCCUUG
This 67-nucleotide transfer RNA is filed under the name Traccatichthys pulcher. RNAcentral describes it as "tRNA-Ser". The record is from RNAcentral. Lineage: Eukaryota; Metazoa; Chordata; Actinopteri; Cypriniformes; Nemacheilidae.